Mastomys coucha (southern multimammate mouse) is the source of this 1031-nucleotide long non-coding RNA. RefSeq lists it as uncharacterized. The transcript is spliced from 2 exons. The record is from RefSeq and is a predicted model, not a curated record. Lineage: Eukaryota; Metazoa; Chordata; Mammalia; Rodentia; Muridae.
CUCUAAUUUUUUGUGAGAGUCACAUUUGACUCCUUCCCAAAGCUACCCUCCAAGCUCCAAAUCUUUCUACAGUAUGUGUGAUUUCUAAAUUAAUUUACCAAAGUUAAGGACAGUAAGAGUCUGUAAUAACGUACCAACUAACGAAAACUUCCUCUUACAGUUUCUUCAGUGUUUGCCCCAAUAGGUGUCUUCUGCAAGGAUUAUCUUAAAAUCUAUUUGACUCAGAGUCUAGGAUUUUACCAGCCUUCCAUGGCCAACACCUUUAGCUCCAGAAUCAAGACAGCAAGCAGAUGGGCAGAGGAGCCCAGGGCUCCAGCCUGUUUGAGGAGGCAAGAGCAAGGGCAAAGGACACACCACGGAGACACACCACAGGAGUGGACUGAAGCUGGUGGAAAGCCCCACUGAGCAUCCUCUACUUGGAUUUCUCAGAGGGACCAAAGCAGCAGCAGCAGCAGCAGCAGCAGCAGCAGCAGCAGCAGCAGCAGCAGCAGCAGCAGCAGCAGGGGGUGAUCCCCUGACACUGCAGAAGUCUGGCCCCUCCUCUAGGACUGCGGGGAUGCCACACCUUGCCUCCCAACCUGAGCUUCUGAGUGUGAAGAGUCCUCACACUGCAGAUGUGCAGGGAAAGGGUGUGGGAGCUCAGGCUAUCCCCACCAGUCACAGGGAGGUGGGGGGGCAGGCACCCUGAACACUGCCUCUUCGCCCUCCUGUGCUGACAACACCCACUCUGGGAAGGCCACAGAGUGAGACUCCUAAUAUCUUGCAAAAAGUCAGAAUCUGAGGAUAAGCAACCCAACCACUCCCCACACUUUGAGCCAGGAAGGGGCACAGAUAUGGGAAACCAUAUCCUACCUCUUCACUGUGUCCCGUGUCAUAUUUCUCACUAAAUAGCUGUCCUGAUCACAUCAAAAACAAAAAACAAAAACAAAAACAAAAACAAAAAAACAAACAAACAAACAAACAAAAAAAAAAAACCUCAAUGGCUUCCCAGGGUCUAAGUAACUAAUACAGGAUCCUAGCAGUCUCUUACA